AGGACGAACGCUGGCGGCGUGCCUAACACAUGCAAGUCGAGCGGGGGCCAUCUGGUGGCAACACCAGGGAAGCCCGAGCGGCGAACGGGUGAGUAACACGUGAGGAACCUGCCCCGGAGACCGGGAUAACAGCUGGAAACGGCUGCUAAUACCGGAUGCCAUCACCAGACCGCAUGAUCAGGUGAUGAAAUGGAUUCCGCUCCGGGAGGGCCUCGCGGCCUAUCAGCUAGUUGGUGGGGUAACGGCCUACCAAGGCGUCGACGGGUAGCUGGUCUGAGAGGACGAUCAGCCACACUGGGACUGAGACACGGCCCAGACUCCUACGGGAGGCAGCAGUGGGGAAUCUUGCGCAAUGGGCGAAAGCCUGACGCAGCAACGCCGCGUGCGGGAUGAAGGCCUUCGGUUGUAAACCGCUUUCAGCAGGGACGAAAUUGACGGUACCUGCAGAAGAAGCCCGGCAACUACGUGCCAGCAGCCGC
RNAcentral lists this ribosomal RNA (479 nucleotides) under uncultured bacterium. Its description in RNAcentral is "SSU rRNA". It matches the Rfam family "Bacterial small subunit ribosomal RNA", at positions 26 to 518 of the family's 1533-position model. The record is from RNAcentral.